AUGGACUGGAUUCCUCUAGCUCUCCUGGUCCUCUCUCACUAUACAGGUUCCCUCUCCCAGCCUGUGCUGACUCAGCAGUCCUCCAUCUCUGCAUCUCUUGGAACAACAGCCAGAAUCCCCUGCACUCUGAGCAGUGGCAUCAGCGUUAGUAGAAAAUACAUAUAUUGGUAUCAGCAGAAGGCUGGAAGUCAGCCCCGUUUUUUCCUGUACUAUUACUCGGACACAAGCAAUAAGCUGGGACCUGGUGUUCCUAAUCGCGUCUCUGGGUCCAAAGAUACCUCCACAAAUACAGCUUAUUUGCUCAUCUCUGGUCUGCAGUCUGAGGAUGACGCUGAUUAUUAUUGCCAAGUAUAUGACAAUAGUGCUCACACAGUGCCAGAGACAGAUGAGGAAGUGGGACCAAAACCCUCAGUUACUUAG
Non-coding RNA from Suncus etruscus (white-toothed pygmy shrew), 420 nucleotides. The record is from the annotation of a RefSeq genome assembly. NCBI's taxonomy places the organism in Eukaryota, Metazoa, Chordata, Mammalia, Eulipotyphla, Soricidae.